UACGUAGGGUGCAAGCGUUGUUCGGAAUUAUUGGGCGUAAAGAGCUCGUAGGCGGUUUGUCGCGUCUGCUGUGAAAACUCGGGGCUCAACUCCGAGCUUGCAGUGGGUACGGGCAGACUAGAGUGCGGUAGGGGAGACUGGAAUUCCCGGUGUAGCGGUGAAAUGCGUAGAUAUCAGGAGGAACACCUGUGGCGAAAGCGGCUCACUGGACCACAACUGACGCUGAUGCACGAAAGCUAGGGGAGCAAACAGG
This 253-nucleotide ribosomal RNA is filed under the name uncultured bacterium. Its description in RNAcentral is "partial 16S ribosomal RNA". It matches the Rfam family "Bacterial small subunit ribosomal RNA", at positions 524 to 776 of the family's 1533-position model. The record is from RNAcentral.